AUCAGUCUGCGCUCGGGAGACGGCGCAUCGUGAACUCGAUUUCGCCGCCUUCGAGCUGGCGCCAGCUCUCGACUUCGGUCCAAU
RNAcentral lists this small RNA (84 nucleotides) under Sinorhizobium meliloti 2011. RNAcentral's name for it is "putative ncRNA". Lineage: Bacteria; Pseudomonadati; Pseudomonadota; Alphaproteobacteria; Hyphomicrobiales; Rhizobiaceae. The record is from RNAcentral.